AGAACCGGCGUGUGGUACCCCAAACCUCUUCUCUCUGGGAAGGGCCCAGGCUAUUCAGAGCCCACGGAACCAGUGGCCUUUGAGGAUGUAGCUGUGCACUUCACUGAGAAGGAAUGGCAAGUUUGGUGCCUGCUCAGAGGGCCUCAUACAGGGAUGUAAUGCUGGAGAACUAUGGAACAAUGGUCUUUCUAGAGCACCCCCGCUUCCAAACCAGCUCUGAUCUCUCAUCUGGAGUGAGGGAAAGAGCCAUGUUUCACCCACCCACAGGAAGCCCUCUGCAGAAGGAGCAGGAGAGCAGGCUUUACAGG
This 308-nucleotide long non-coding RNA is filed under the name Sus scrofa (pig). RNAcentral's name for it is "lncRNA (ENSSSCG00060025830.1)". Lineage: Eukaryota; Metazoa; Chordata; Mammalia; Artiodactyla; Suidae. The record is from RNAcentral.